CAGUCCGUCGUCACUUUUCGCUCCUCUUUUUAUACGCGGCAUUUCAUCCCGAUCUCCUCAUUUUCCUCCACUAUUGAUGAACCUACUUUGCUU
Caenorhabditis elegans is the source of this 93-nucleotide non-coding RNA. The record is from Ensembl. Lineage: Eukaryota; Metazoa; Nematoda; Chromadorea; Rhabditida; Rhabditidae.